This 253-nucleotide ribosomal RNA is filed under the name uncultured bacterium. RNAcentral's name for it is "partial 16S ribosomal RNA". It matches the Rfam family "Bacterial small subunit ribosomal RNA", at positions 524 to 776 of the family's 1533-position model. The record is from RNAcentral.
GACAGAGGGUGCAAACGUUGUUCGGAAUUACUGGGCGUAAAGUGCGUGUAGGCUGCUUCGAAAGUCGGAUGUGAAAGCCCUGGGCUCAACCUAGGAAGUGCAUUCGAAACUUCGAAGCUUGAGUUCUGGAGAGGAAGGCGGAAUUCUCGGUGUAGAGGUGAAAUUCGUAGAUAUCGAGAGGAACACCGGUGGCGAAGGCGGCCUUCUGGACAGUGACUGACGCUGAGACGCGAAAGCGUGGGGAGCAAACAGG